CUCCUUGUCAUCCUGGAAAUAAAAGCACCAAACUAUUAUAUAGAUUUUUGCAAUGAGUGUAAUAUUAUUCACUAAGGCAACAAUGUCAAUGGCAUGCUUGUCAACAUCUAUUUGCUUCAAAAUUGAUGAGUAUGAUAUUGAUGAAUAGAGUAUUACACGUCCAAUAGUAGGAAAGUAGAAGAGCUCAUACAUUACAACUAAAUUCUCAGAAAUGAAAGGGACAAAUAUACUAACAUUGUCUGAAAUUUUCAAAUUUUGACAAUUUAAUAUCUUUCUGAAUGAAGAAAUUUAUUUCAAUUAGGUACAUUUGACAGGAUUUUGUCACAGAAAAACUAGAAUACACAUUUUACCCCUAUAAACGCUAUCACCCUCUAAUUCUAGUUCAAUUCUACUUUUCAAACCUAUUCGCAUUAAAGCUUUUUGCUUGGAUGCCCAAAUUCCUACUCAUUCUAGCCUUUCAAAUAAGUCCAAAAAUCCAGCAAGCUAUCCUAUGUCAGUUUGGCAUCAGAGCUUCAAGAUCUAUGAAGUUUGUUGCUUUAAUUCUUAUCAGCUAUGGUGGCAACCAAAGUUUUAUUCUCUUCAUCAAGAAAAUAAAGAUACAAAAAUAAGAUUGGAUUCAAGGAAAGCCGAAAGGGAUAAGAAUUUCUUAAGAUUGUGUCUAAUAUUAACUCUUAACAAGUAACCAAUGAGAGCAACGACUGGUACGAUCCUUUCUCAAAAAGAACUCAAGAGGGAUUGUCAAAAUACCUAGGCAAGAGAGGUGACCAUUUCAACCACAAGAUUUGAAGGAUGACAUCACUAUGAAAAGUUGACAGGCAUGUUAUGUUCUGCACUGUUUUGUGAUUGGCUCAAUUCCAUAAAUCAUACUUUGAUUGGCAUGGCAUGGGGGAAGAUCAUAAUGAGAAGAAGCUUAUUGGAG
This 919-nucleotide unclassified non-coding RNA is filed under the name Hevea brasiliensis (rubber tree). The record is from RNAcentral. Lineage: Eukaryota; Viridiplantae; Streptophyta; Magnoliopsida; Malpighiales; Euphorbiaceae.